CGGAAAAAAUAAAAACGCUACAUGUCGUGAUUAUUCCGCUGCGGAUAUUCCGCAAGUGUGACACCAGCCUUAAUUAUUAUCUAUAUCUGUGUAGUCGCCUUUUAAACGAAUUUCCUCCUAUAAGCCAUAGAUUUGUUACGGACCACGUACUGUCCGUACUGAUAUUACAUAUAAGAUGGUGUGAUGACACAUUUUUACAUAUAGACUAUAGUAAUUAAUACAGGCAUGCGAGGACAAGAGAGUGUGGAAUAUCUUAUGAAUAAAAUAAUUUAACAAUUAAAGUAGAAAUAAUACGUCUCUUUGAUAGGUAAGUCAAAACUCGAUGUCUCUUCGUAAGAAUCGUGUAUAAGAAUGCACAAGCAGUAUUUUCGAUACCCACUCCUAUAUUAUGACAAUCACAUAAAAGGAAGGUAGAGACAAGGCUCGGCAUACGUUAAGACGGUUGGGAAUAUUACAACACUCAGAAGCACACAACUCAGGUCGUAACGCCACUCAAAUUCUAUUUCAUAUUAAGCCUAUAUAGGUAUUUGUAAUCGUGUAAAUUAUCAUUUCAAUAAACAUUUUAAUUUUUAAUAUACACCACGACGUAUUCAUUCCGCACGUUGAUGUACAAUAUAUCGACCGAUCGGGACGCAACAGAUCUAUCUUUAGACGACGUGCCUUCAUUAAUUGAUUAAAUUUAUAAAAUAUUAUUCUUAAAUAGGUGUAUAGGACAUAGAUAGGUAUAUCAGUGACAAGAAGUUCCCUUCAUUGUUUUUAAAAAUAAACCUAAGGCUUAGACUGUAUAAUAUAUUUUAUUAAUUAAAAGUUUUGGUUUACUAUACAUUAUUUUUUGGGCGAUGUACUGAACAAUAAUAAUAAUAUUACCUAUGAUGUUUUUCUGCAGUACAUAUACCUAUAUUUGUUGUUUUCUAAAAACGAUUACGUCUUUUGGGAUUUUCUGUUUAUAAAUUCCUUAUCGACAUUCGACACGACUUACGGCGUACGAUGACUGCCGAAGUGCCGCGCCGAGGCUAUCGCAGUACCUAUUACGUAAUCGCUCGUUAGUACUCGUUACACGUUAGCCUAAUCGUUGCCAAAUACUAAUUAUUGGCCAUGUUUAAACCAUCGUUUCACCACGGUGAGUACACGGCGGACCAUUUUUGGCUUUAUAUUAGAAUACUACUAAUGCAGAUCAAAAAAUGGACUGUUGGAAUUUACAUGUUAUAAAUUCGACCUAAAAUCGGUGAAUCAAUAAACAAAUUGUGGAGAUAAGAAACAGUUCAUAAUUGUCCAGGCUUGUCAUUACACAAUUCAGUUUGGCAUCAUCUGCAAUGGAGGUAACGAUAGCAAUUAGUGGGUUCAGCUGCUUGUUCGACAUCCAUCACGAUCAUAGCAAACAUUUCUGAUACAUAAUAAUAUGUAUUCUGAAUUCGAAUUGUUCUUCAACAUGUUAAUUGGUCGUGCUCAUAGUGGGGAGAGGUUAUAUUAUACCACUCUUUAGUAUAUAUAUUUUAUUGACUAACUAAAUUGAAAAAACUAUAUAAUUUAUUGUUAAAAAUUUCAUGUAUUCAUCACAAUUUUUCUUUGUCAUUUUUAAUUAUUUAUAUAUUUCAGUUAAAUUUAUUGAUACAAUAAAAUAUAUGAUAAAGUAAUACAAAUA
Long non-coding RNA from Aphis gossypii (cotton aphid), 1642 nucleotides. RefSeq lists it as uncharacterized. NCBI's taxonomy places the organism in Eukaryota, Metazoa, Arthropoda, Insecta, Hemiptera, Aphididae. The transcript is spliced from 2 exons. The record is from RefSeq and is a predicted model, not a curated record.